This 84-nucleotide transfer RNA is filed under the name Ephemerocybe angulata. Its description in RNAcentral is "Coprinellus angulatus tRNA". It matches the Rfam family "tRNA". Rfam says of the family: Transfer RNA (tRNA) molecules are approximately 80 nucleotides in length. Their secondary structure includes four short double-helical elements and three loops (D, anti-codon, and T loops). Further hydrogen bonds mediate the characteristic L-shaped molecular structure. tRNAs have two regions of fundamental functional importance: the anti-codon, which is responsible for specific mRNA codon recognition, and the 3' end, to which the tRNAs corresponding amino acid is attached (by aminoacyl-tRNA synthetases). tRNAs cope with the degeneracy of the genetic code in two manners: having more than one tRNA (with a specific anti-codon) for a particular amino acid; and 'wobble' base-pairing, i.e. permitting non-standard base-pairing at the 3rd anti-codon position. The record is from Rfam by way of RNAcentral. Lineage: Eukaryota; Fungi; Basidiomycota; Agaricomycetes; Agaricales; Psathyrellaceae.
GGGGGCAUAGCUCAGUUGGGAGAGCAGCAGACUGAAGCGCAUCGUGCUUUCUGAAGGUCCCGCGUUCGAUCCGCGGUGCCCCCA